Long non-coding RNA from Lingula anatina, 3000 nucleotides. The record is from RefSeq and is a predicted model, not a curated record. NCBI's taxonomy places the organism in Eukaryota, Metazoa, Brachiopoda, Lingulata, Lingulida, Lingulidae.
UGCAAGUCGUAUAUAUAUACAUUACCUUGACGGCAAAAAAGUUUGGGGAAAAUUCGCACCAUGUCUAACACAAUACUGCUCCUUUGAUUUUUUGGAGUUCAUUCAUUCUACCAGUGAAAUGUGAAAUCUGACACUAGGUACUUGAUAUCAUACAUGAGGGCUGAGAGAGGUGAUUUUUAUUUUUGCCGUUUUAGCAAACCCGAAUUACCUUCCCGGGGUCGGAAUCGAUAAAGGUGCCCUAACACACGAGAAAGACCAAUGCCUAAAUCGAGGCCUCUGUACGGAAGGCGGUCAACUGUACAUUAUUACGUAAACCAGGCGAGCACUUUGCUGAGAGGUAUUCGGAUAGGACCAAGGUCAGUUGGAAAAGAAGGAAGCCUAGAAUUUCCACAUGUAGGCCGAAAUUCUGCCACCGAAACUGCAGCAAUCUGUUAGGAAACGCUUUUGCUAAUAAAAGAGAAAUAGCAUUCCAGCUGUCUGCAGUCUGAUUGUGUUAUUCCGUCCCAAACAAAGCAAGACAACUGGGCAGUGCCUCUUAACUACCGUUUAUGAAGAGAUUGGACGCACUCCCAGCAAAGACAUCAGAUUCGUGUUCGCCAGCGCCCGCACCCAUGUCAACGUUGUCAUGCGUGCCGAAGUUUGUCGUAUAGUCAACUUGCAGGGUUGACAUUUGAUUAGGCUUAAAUGUAUAGUUUGCUUUGGGUUGUUAUAUUCUGUAUCAAAACGUGUAUCGAAUAAAGUACAGCGUGUAACGAGCGUUUUAUCCAUGAAACUUCUGAUAAAAAUGGACUAAAUCCAAGCGUCAACCCUGCACGUCACUGCUUUAACACUUAAGAUAUGUUACUAGGUAGAAGUACAACGAUAUUUUUGUUACUUGUCCAUGUUUCAUUGUUUUAUACCCGCCAGUUGUCGAACAUAAAUAGCCAAUUCUAUUCAAAAUGAAAUAAUGUUGUUAAAAAGUGCCUUAAGUGAUGUAUGAAAACAAAAAUGAUAAAGUUGUAAAAUUAUUACCAAGCGGUGUCUAGGUAGAGCACUGUGCAAUGCAAGCAGAACCGGUGCCUGCUUGGUUGUCAAAUGAUGCGUGUGGGCAAAUUACACUUCGCUGUGCACUUGAACAAAUUUUUUAUUUAUUUUAGAUUAAAUUCAAAUUAUUAUUUUAAUGAAGUUAACUUUUGAAAAGAAAAACGUUUGUCGCAUCUCCAUUACUUAAAAUGAGUAUAGAAAAAAUUCGAGAUAUAGAAAUGGUGAUCAUUUGAAGAAAACGAGAUGUAAAUCUUAAUUUAAUUGUUACCAUUGCAAUCCACAUAUUAAAAAUCUUCAGAAGUAAAAGCAUUGAUGACCUGCAAAUUUGCUCGUGUUAUUGCAGAAGUGCCCACACGUAUCACAUCAAUCUUUCUGUUUGUAACUGUGACGCAUUCUAAGAGUAAACUUUCUUUGGUUCCCGGUGUUUGGAUCUAUGUGUCUGACAGUAACAGAUAUAUUCAGUGCUGGGAGGGGACCAAACCAUUUAUUUUACGAAAAUCAAACCAGUGGGUAGGGGAAGAUUUUUUAAAAUAGAUAUUUGUUAUUACAGUAAGAAAAUACAUUGUGAACGUGAUAAGUAGCCUAAAGGUUCCUAUUUGGACUGCCAAAAUUUCCUAGCAUUGAGUCUAUUUGUGCCUUGCCCAUAUCACAGAGCAGGAAUGUUUCAUCUUCACUAAGGAAAAACAGUGGGUCAUAGAAAGCGACAGUGUUUUAAUUCGAGCUCAUUUGUCCAUUAAAAAGUAUACCUGGGUCUGGCUUUUUAUCAUCCAUCACUUUUACAUUCUAAAUUUUCGAAAAGUUGCCUAUGAAAUUCAUAUUGUCGAUAUUAUUGAUUACAUUAGCUACAGCAAUGCUCUUUUUUGGGAGUAAUAGGUAUUUCAUAUUGACCAUAUGAGGUUUUGUAGACGUCAACUUUUGUCAAUGCUCUCCGCAUAAAAGAAGAAACAAUUCAACAGAAAUUUUAAAGUUUGUUACUUAAACAUAUCAGUGUUUUAGUUUGAUUGAGGUUGAACCUGGUGCUUUUUUAAAACUUUAUUAUGGUGGGCACCGAGAGGCGGUGGAGAUCACACGUUCUGAUCAGAUGUCAGUCCUGCAGCACGAGCUAGUGGGUUAUUUUUGCUAUGUUCUUCUUGAUCACUAAACACCGGAGACCAGAUUGGAGUUUAUAGGCAUUUGCUUAAUGUUCUAAAUUGUUAGAAGUAAAAUGAUUUUGGUGUUACCUUUUGAAAUUUGUUUGCAUAUUAUUCAUAGAAAUGACUGAGUUGGAUAAGGCUGUAAACUGACCAUGUCCUUAUGUUGCUCUUGAUUCGCACGACGCGCAAAAAUAUUCACUCAAAAUUGUGUUAUCAAGUACCUGUUUUAAGAUUUAAUGUGAAGAAAACAAAUUGACGCAAGACAUGAGCUACAUUUAUUCAUGAGUAACUUGGCCAGUCGCACAAAAUGAAUAAUUUUGGGAAACCUUUGUGUUUUUAUGUGCGAUCAUCACAGCAUUGAGACAUGUCACAAGGUAUCAAGUAAGCGCAUGCUUAUUAUAUCUGGGGUGGCAGUUACAUCAGAAAGGAUGCAUUUUGAUUUUUUAAUAUCGUUAAUACCACCGAAUUUAGAGAAUAUGUCCCUGGGUAAAAUUUACGAUAGUUUCUAAGACGUAAAACUUAGGUCAACUUAGAACAAAUAUGUAAAAUAGAAUGCUUUUAACAUUCCGAUUUGUAAAUUGGUUCUGUGCAAAAUCAUGAAAACUUUUUGUAUAGUGUAGCAUUCCUAAGCCUCUUUUUUUCUAUUAAAACUGUUAAUUUUUUGAGCUGCUUUUUAUCAAUCAAAACUGUUAUAUUUUUGAGCUGCUAUAUUCAUAAUGCAUAGACUUUUCGACAUGUUUUACCUGGGUAUAGUGGAACUUUUUUCUGUUUCAGCUCGCCUUAAAUUUUGGCGAUUUUUGUGAAAGAAAAAAUUAUUUUUAUUAAGAGAAUAUGUAAUCGCGAU